This 566-nucleotide long non-coding RNA is filed under the name Sus scrofa (pig). RNAcentral's name for it is "lncRNA (ENSSSCG00040023281.1)". Lineage: Eukaryota; Metazoa; Chordata; Mammalia; Artiodactyla; Suidae. The record is from RNAcentral.
CUGGGAACUUCUAUGUGCUGCGGGUGCAGCCCUAAAAAUAAAAACAGAAAAUAAAAUAAAAUAAGAUGCCCUUGGCAUCAUUGUGCACCCCCCUUGCCCCCCGUCAUGUUCUUUCCCUGCCCUGCUAGUGUGUGGCGGUGGGUGGCAGGACCCAGAGACAUGGCCAGUGCCAGGAGCCACACAGCAGCAGCUUCUCUCUCCUCCCAGAUCAGCCCUGUCAGCCCUCCUCGAACCCGCACUGCCCGCCUGAUGACCGCCAAGGAGGGCCAGGCCCUGCUGAGUCACGAGGCCGCUCCCCCGCUGGGCACUGAGUCAUUCUUAACGAGCCCUCUGACGGGCAAACUGCUGCCAUCAUCCAGGAUUCACCCAAGUCUGCAGGAUUUGAGAACAUUCUUCCGGGAAGGAGUCUGGAGCCUCCCCCACACGGCUGCCCACAUCAGGAGCCUCAGAUACAGAGGCCUUUUUCCUUGCCUUUGGCCUCAGCAUCCAACACUCCACUCUUCUCAUGGAAACUCCGGGGGAGCGGCAGCGGAAACUCCAUCCGAUGCUUCACUGGGAAUCGGCAC